Molecule: ribosomal RNA, 474 nt
Filed under: Bruchus cf. obscurus GJK-2010
Lineage: Eukaryota; Metazoa; Arthropoda; Insecta; Coleoptera; Chrysomelidae
Description: partial 16S ribosomal RNA
Rfam family: Bacterial large subunit ribosomal RNA
Source: RNAcentral
AAUGGCCGCGGUAUUUUGACCGUGCUAAGGUAGCAUAAUCAUUAGUUUCUUAAUUAGAAGCUGGUAUGAAGGGUUUGAUGAAAAAAAUGCUGUCUCUAUUUAAAUUAUAUAAAAUUUUAUUUUUUAGUAAAAAAGCUGAGAUUUAUUUGAAAGACGAGAAGACCCUAUAGAGUUUAAUAAUUAUUAAUUAUAUUAUUUAUUAGAAUUUUAUAUUAUUAAAAUUUUAUAUUAUUUGAUUGGGGUGAUUGAAAAAAUUAAUUAACUUUUUUUUUGUUUUUUACAUAUUUAUAUGAAAAUUUGAUCCAUUAUUUAUGAUUAUAAGAUAAAAUUACCUUAGGGAUAACAGCGUAAUAUUUUCAGAGAGUUCUUAUCGAAGAAAAAGAUUGCGACCUCGAUGUUGGAUUAAAAUUAACUUUUGGUGUAGAAGCUAAAUAAGUUAGGUCUGUUCGACCUUUAAAAUUUUACAUGAUCUGA